UUGAGGUUGAUUCACUUAGUGCUUAUUGAUGUAAAUAGGUGAUUUAUGAUUAGAUACGAACGAAUUGGCGGUGGAACUAAUGGGCAAAGCUAUAAUUGAGACGUGAGCUAUGUCUAAGGUAUCGAGGUAAGUGUUUGGUCUAACCUUAGCUUGAGGAAUUAGGAUUUUAGUCCUAUUUGCUAUGUGAUAAUUGUUGAGUACCACAUAUAGGGAUGGUGAUGAGUAUCUAUACGUUGGUGUCUAGCAUGAUCGUGAGUCUUUAUAUUGUGAAUAUCAUGAUUUCAUUGUUUCUUUCAUGCCUUGGUGAUGAUUUCUAUAUGGUGUGAAAAGCUUGUGAAAGAAAUUGUGAACUUUGAACAUCCAGGAUCAUUGGCUUGAGUUAUGUUACAAAUUAUGAAAGUAUAUGAGAUGAUUGAAUCUUUUGGAGCAUUGGCUCAAGUGAUAAAGUAAUUUGUGAAGUCAAACUAAUGAUUUCUAUAUGUUGUGAAAAACUAGCGAAAGGAAUUGUGACCUUUGAACAUCGAGGAGCAUUGGCUCGAAGAUAUUACAAAUUUGUAAAAGUAUAUGAGAUGAUUGAACCCUUUAGAGCGUUAGCUCAAGUGGUAAAAUGGGUUUUGAAGUAAUAGUAAAAGAAAGAGAAUGAGUUAUUACAUUGUUCCCUUUCCGGGUGUUUAUGGCUUUGUGGAUUAUUUUCCUUUCCGAGAUGCUGAGUUUUAUUGAUAUUGUUCCCUUGCCAGGAUUUAAAUGUUAAAUUGUGUUCCCUUGCCCGGAUUUCUAUUAUUACUUAUUUACUCCCUUUUCCCUUUGUUUGUGAUUUUUGUUUGAGUGAGGAAGAGUGUUAAAGCACGAAGGAUGAUGUCGUGUAUUUUUGUAUUGUGAGGAAGAGUGUUAAAGCACGAAGGGUGACGUCGUUCCACACGAUAUACCAUUUCAUGCAGAUUCUAUUGAUUAUAUGUGAGGAAAGAGAGUAAAAGCACGAAGGAUAAUUCCGU
RNAcentral lists this long non-coding RNA (992 nucleotides) under Nicotiana benthamiana. Its description in RNAcentral is "long non-coding RNA (NBEN_LNC035867)". The record is from RNAcentral. Lineage: Eukaryota; Viridiplantae; Streptophyta; Magnoliopsida; Solanales; Solanaceae.